Molecule: long non-coding RNA, 1230 nt
Filed under: Homo sapiens (human)
Lineage: Eukaryota; Metazoa; Chordata; Mammalia; Primates; Hominidae
Description: non-protein coding BAIAP2-DT:19
Source: RNAcentral
GGGUGGCGCAGGAAGAAGGAGCAGAAGGUGCGGGGAGGAGAGCGGGGGGCGCCGGCGGCAGCGCGCGUGGAGGCGGCACUUCGCGAAGUGGCACUUCGGGGCGGGCGGCCCGCCGGGUCGCGGCCUGGCGCUGCGGGGCGGGGAGCGGCUCGGACGCAGGACGCCGCGGGCCGGGCUUACAGGUGGGAGAGGCCCCGACCCCGCCGCUUCGCAGGCCAGCUUCCUGCUGUGUUCCCUGCACCCACCGAUCUCACACGCAGCCCUAGGACAGACGUCCACUGGCCUGAGUUGGGUCUGGGGCCAACACGGAGCAGGUGGGGGUAGAGCAGCUCUGCUCGCCUGGAGGAAAGUUGAAUGGCUGGAACCAAGAUGACAGAUGGAGGCUGGCAGGCAAACACGGGAGGCCUCCUCACUCCAAGAGGGGAGUCAGCCUGGGGACAGUUCUUCUCCAGGCCCUGCUGCUCCCAUCAGCUGCAACACAGGAGAGGUGGCUGAAUGCGGGCUGGAGGCCUUCCCUGAGAAGACGGUUAUCCAUGCUGUACAUGGAAGUGACCAGCUCGGCACCUGAGGAGACACACCGCGGCCGAUGACAGGCGCAGAGCAGGACGUGGUGAGGUCCUCAUACCUAGGAAUGCAGAACAAGGGCAAGAAACUCGGUGCCCGCCUGGCAUCUGCCCUGCACCAGUGGCCUCCAGGAAGUUCUCCACCAAGGAUGUUCCCCAGGCACUCUGUGCUCGCCUUCACCAGCGUCCUGUGAGGUCUUUCACACUGAUGGGGAAGCCUUUCUAAAGGGUAUUAGGGGGCUUGGGGGCUGGGGGUGCUGAGUACCAAGGGUCCCAGGAAGAGACAGGCCAGGCUUAUGGGCUGGGCAUCCAGAGAUCGCCCUGACGCCAGCUCCAGGUGGAGUUAGGAGGGCACUCUUGUCCCGACGCAUUUACAGACCACUCCCUCUUCUUGUUCCCCUCGACUCUGAGAGUGUGGUGGGGUAGCUGUGGAACCUGACUGCUUGCCUGAAGGUUGGGCAGCGUGGCUAGAAAUUGCGGCCCAGACCUGGGAUCUCACCCACACCUCUAUGAGACGUCCUGAAGGAAACCAUCGACUGAGCGGAGAGGCUUCGCCUUGCCCGCCUCCUCCCAGGAAGGAAGAGCGGAAGAGGCGUCGCCAGCCACCGAGACUGCCAGCCACCACCCCCUCCCAGACUCUCUGUCCCCACCCCAGACCAGGGUCACC